CAGCCGCCACGGUAAUACGAAGGGGGCUAGCGUUGUUCGGAUUUACUGGGCGUAAAGGGCGCGUAGGCGGACUGAUAAGUCAGGGGUGAAAUCCCAAGGCUCAACCUUGGAACUGCCUUUGAUACUGUUUGUCUUGAGUUCGAGAGAGGUAAGUGGAACUGCGAGUGUAGAGGUGAAAUUCGUAGAUAUUCGCAAGAACACCAGUGGCGAAGGCGGCUUACUGGCUCGAAACUGACGCUGAGGCGCGAAAGCGUGGGGAGCAAACAGGAUUAGAUACCCGCGUAGUCCCUGUCUCUUAUAC
This 301-nucleotide ribosomal RNA is filed under the name uncultured bacterium. RNAcentral's name for it is "partial 16S ribosomal RNA". It matches the Rfam family "Bacterial small subunit ribosomal RNA", at positions 509 to 807 of the family's 1533-position model. The record is from RNAcentral.